Molecule: long non-coding RNA, 356 nt
Filed under: Mytilus galloprovincialis (Mediterranean mussel)
Lineage: Eukaryota; Metazoa; Mollusca; Bivalvia; Mytilida; Mytilidae
Source: RNAcentral
GGUCGUUCUCAGCUUAAUAAAGAAUAUUCCGAUAAUUUUACCUUAAUUUUUUUUUAGCCUCGCUCUGCUCAGCAAAAUUUAAGUUUGCGCCCCUCCUAACCUUAAAUCCUGGAUCUGCCCCUCAUAUGGUUUAGGGGUGGGGAGAUCAACCGUUUCCAAGUUAUCAAACAGGAGGGGGUAGAGUGGCCCAAAGAAUGUCACCUAUAUAUCAUAUGAUUUACUUACAAUAAGGUAUAUAUAAUAUAGUUGCAUUAUUUGUGAAAAUAAAGAAAGAAACUUUCAGCUACUUUAAUUGACCCUUCAAAAUUGAGAAAAACAAAUAACCCUUCGAAAUUGCAGUAGUAUGUUUACACUUU